AGAAAAGGAAAACACAGAAACAGAAGAGGAAGUUUGAUGAAUUGAUUGAUCGACAUAAUGAGAAAAGGGAAUCACUGGAACUGGAUUGGAAUUUAACUGAAUACGCUAAUCGAACAAAUGAGAUGGAAACACCAGACCAGUUGGUGGCGUGUGAUGCAUUGUGGGAACGACUUAAAUGGAAAAAGAAAACACAGAAACAAGCGAGGAAGUUUUAUGAAUUGAUUGUUCGACAUAAUGAGGUAAGUUAUUACUGUUUUGAUACAGAACACAAUGAUAUGUGUGAAGGUUCAAGGAGUUUUAUUGUCAUUGCAGUACACAACGAAAUACACACACACACACACACCCUGUACAGAUACAUAUUGUGCCCAUCAAGUCCAGUCUGU
Molecule: long non-coding RNA, 383 nt
Organism: Gadus morhua (Atlantic cod)
Lineage: Eukaryota; Metazoa; Chordata; Actinopteri; Gadiformes; Gadidae
Exons: 8
Source: RefSeq, a predicted model, not a curated record